This 443-nucleotide ribosomal RNA is filed under the name uncultured bacterium. Its description in RNAcentral is "bacterial SSU rRNA". It matches the Rfam family "Bacterial small subunit ribosomal RNA", at positions 338 to 795 of the family's 1533-position model. The record is from RNAcentral.
CCUACGGGGGGCAGCAGUGGGGAAUAUUGCACAAUGGGGGAAACCCUGAUGCAGCGACGCCGCGUGAAGGAAGAAGGUUUUCGGAUCGUAAACUUCUAUCAGCAGGGAAGAAGAAAGUGACAGUACCUGACUAAGAAGCCCCGGCUAACUACGUGCCAGCAGCCGCGGUAAUACGUAGGGGGCAAGCGUUAUCCGGAAUCACUGGGAGUAAAGGGUGCGUAGGCGGUAGGGCAAGUCAGAUGUGAAAGCCCGGGGCUCAACCCCGGGAUUGCAUUUGAAACUGUCUUAGUAGAGUGCAGGAGAGGAGAGCCGAAUUUCUAGUGUAGCGGUGAAAUGCGUAGAUAUUAAGAAGAGCACGAGUGGCAAAGGCGGCGUUUGGGACUGUAACUGACACUGAGGCACGAAGGCGUGGAGAGCGAGCAGGAACAGGUACCCUUGUAGUC